UCUUGGAUUUGAUGCCAAGAUUCUAUCAUCCCCUUGUUGCAAAAAAAAAAACGUUAUAACGGGUCGAUUGGAUCGUAAAACAUUGGCCGGCCAACCUUUUCCAGCAAGAAAAAAACAAAAACAAAAAAUGUUGAUAGAAGACCUUAAUCGUCUACUCCUUAUACACAAAGGCCAAGGUAUGCAAGAGAAAUCCAUCAGGGAGAGAGGGGGGGGGAUGUAUCGAUAGCGAAAACCAUAUGCCAUUUCGCAUUUUUCCAGCCUGUUUUCUAAUCCUAAAGGUGAUGGUGCAAGACGGCCGGCGCCAGCCACCGUGACCCUGAUGACUACUACUAUUACAACUGCUACUAUCAGCUGAGCAUGUGUGUUUUGGGGCGCAGGCGAAAAUGCCAAGCCACGGAGAAUCAAGAAGAAGAAAAAAAAAAAAAAAAAAAAAAACUUUCUCUCUGACUAGCCUGUCCUAUGACGAUGAUUGCGUCUAUAUUUAUCUAUGCAACGAGGAUAGCGAAAUACGUCCGGUCACAUCCGCUUCUUCAGCCCAAUAUUUUUUGAAGUGGGAAAGGGGAAGCGACGACUGCAGGCCACGCCGGAAAAAAAUUAAGGAAGAAAAUCCGAAAAUG
Molecule: long non-coding RNA, 617 nt
Organism: Daphnia carinata
Lineage: Eukaryota; Metazoa; Arthropoda; Branchiopoda; Diplostraca; Daphniidae
Exons: 3
Source: RefSeq, a predicted model, not a curated record